GCCCUGUGAUAAUUAAUUUUAUGUGUCAACCUGACUGGGCCACUGAGUGCCCAGAUAAUUGGUAAAACAUUAUUCUGGGU
Small nucleolar RNA from Nomascus leucogenys (northern white-cheeked gibbon), 80 nucleotides. It matches the Rfam family "Small nucleolar RNA SNORD66". From Rfam's summary of the family: snoRNA HBII-142 is part of the C/D family of snoRNAs. NCBI's taxonomy places the organism in Eukaryota, Metazoa, Chordata, Mammalia, Primates, Hylobatidae. The record is from Rfam.